Molecule: non-coding RNA, 505 nt
Organism: Macaca mulatta (Rhesus monkey)
Lineage: Eukaryota; Metazoa; Chordata; Mammalia; Primates; Cercopithecidae
Source: RefSeq, a predicted model, not a curated record
UGAGGUCAUAUGGGUGGGACCUAAUCCAAUAUGACUUUAUAAGAAGAGACGUCUAGGACACAGGGACCACACAGACCAAUGGAGGAAAACAUGAACACACAGUGAGGAAGUGGCCAUCUACAAGCCAAGGAGAGAGGCCACAGAAGAAACCAAACCUGCUGACAUCUUGAUGUUGGACUCCAGAACUGCUAAUGCCAUAAUGCUAAGCCAAAGGCCCAGGAGAAGGGAUGACCAUGGAACCCUUAAGAAAAAGGAUGGAAAGAAGGGAACUCUCUACACGGAGGUACUCACUGAGGAACUAAACAAGGCAUGGUUGUGCUCGACUGAAUGAAGGUUUGCUUUCCAAACCUUGGAAAGCAAGAGUGAGUAAAAAUGACUAGAGGAGGCUUUUCCAGUUGCCCACUCAAAGUGGAAUCUGUGAUUUGGUUACAGUUAGUGAAAAACAUUUUUAGACAAUACCAUCAUGUAUCUUCAAAGUUAACAAUAAAAGGACUACACUUCCACA